RNAcentral lists this ribosomal RNA (269 nucleotides) under uncultured bacterium. Its description in RNAcentral is "partial 16S ribosomal RNA". It matches the Rfam family "Bacterial small subunit ribosomal RNA", at positions 88 to 354 of the family's 1533-position model. The record is from RNAcentral.
UGGCGACCGGGCGCACGGGUGAGUAACGCGUAUCCAACCUGCCCUUUACUAUGGGACAGCCCGUCGAAAGGCGGAUUAAUACCGUAUGUUGUCAUGUUGAUGCAUAUCUUCAUGACCAAAGGCUUCGGCCGGUAAAGGAGUGGGGAUGCGUCUGAUUAGCUUGCCGGCGGGGUAACGGCCCACCGGGGCGACGAUCAGUAGGGGUUCUGAGAGGAAGGUCCCCCACAUUGGAACUGAGACACGGUCCAAACUCCUACGGGAGGCAGCAG